This 949-nucleotide ribosomal RNA is filed under the name Salmonella enterica. RNAcentral describes it as "partial 23S ribosomal RNA". It matches the Rfam family "Bacterial large subunit ribosomal RNA", at positions 911 to 1773 of the family's 2925-position model. RNAcentral also lists the same sequence under 1 other name. Lineage: Bacteria; Pseudomonadati; Pseudomonadota; Gammaproteobacteria; Enterobacterales; Enterobacteriaceae. The record is from RNAcentral.
UGUUUCGGCUAGGGGGCCAUCCCGGCUUACCAACCCGAUGCAAACUGCGAAUACCGGAGAAUGUUAUCACGGGAGACACACGGCGGGUGCUAACGUCCGUCGUGAAGAGGGAAACAACCCAGACCGCCAGCUAAGGUCCCAAAGUCAUGGUUAAGUGGGAAACGAUGUGGGAAGGCCCAGACAGCCAGGAUGUUGGCUUAGAAGCAGCCAUCAUUUAAAGAAAGCGUAAUAGCUCACUGGUCGAGUCGGCCUGCGCGGAAGAUGUAACGGGGCUAAACCAUGCACCGAAGCUGCGGCAGCGAACGUAUCACUUAAAGCGAUUCAGCGGGUUACGAUUGACGGAGCGAAGCGACGUCAAAGCGUAUACAAAGUCGAGUCGGUUUAAGGAUACGUUCGUUGGGUAGGGGAGCGUUCUGUAAGCCUGUGAAGGUGGCCUGUGAGGGUUGCUGGAGGUAUCAGAAGUGCGAAUGCUGACAUAAGUAACGAUAAAGCGGGUGAAAAGCCCGCUCGCCGGAAGACCAAGGGUUCCUGUCCAACGUUAAUCGGGGCAGGGUGAGUCGACCCCUAAGGCGAGGCCGAAAGGCGUAGUCGAUGGGAAACAGGUUAAUAUUCCUGUACUUGGUGUUACUGCGAAGGGGGGACGGAGAAGGCUAUGUUGGCCGGGCGACGGUUGUCCCGGUUUAAGCGUGUAGGCUGGUUUUCCAGGCAAAUCCGGAAAAUCAAGGCUGAGGCGUGAUGACGAGGCACUACGGUGCUGAAGCAACAAAUGCCCUGCUUCCAGGAAAAGCCUCUAAGCAUCAGGUAACAUCAAAUCGUACCCCAAACCGACACAGGUGGUCAGGUAGAGAAUACCAAGGCGCUUGAGAGAACUCGGGUGAAGGAACUAGGCAAAAUGGUGCCGUAACUUCGGGAGAAGGCACGCUGACACGUAGGUGAAGUGAUUUACUCA